Molecule: long non-coding RNA, 257 nt
Filed under: Mytilus galloprovincialis (Mediterranean mussel)
Lineage: Eukaryota; Metazoa; Mollusca; Bivalvia; Mytilida; Mytilidae
Source: RNAcentral
CGCGUUAAUGGAAUCACUUCAGUUCCUGUAUUCCGAAGUGCCGCUGUGAUGGGGCCGUUUUUUGAGAAAUGCUAGAAAAGGGGUAACUCGAAUAAUUCAAGCCCUUUCCGUGUCCGAUUUUCUCCCACAAGAGUUAAUGUAGCCUUCGUAGAUGAGCGGAAUAUAACGACUGAAUUAUUCGGGUUAGGAAAGGGGAACACUUCAGUUCCUUUAUACAGAAGUGCCGCUGUGAUGGGGCCGUUUUUGAGAUGUCAAAU